This 30-nucleotide non-coding RNA is filed under the name Cricetulus griseus (Chinese hamster). The record is from RNAcentral. Lineage: Eukaryota; Metazoa; Chordata; Mammalia; Rodentia; Cricetidae.
AAAACAGAUAAUGCAAUGAUACUAGGAUAU